RNAcentral lists this ribosomal RNA (425 nucleotides) under uncultured bacterium. RNAcentral describes it as "partial 16S ribosomal RNA". It matches the Rfam family "Bacterial small subunit ribosomal RNA", at positions 354 to 796 of the family's 1533-position model. The record is from RNAcentral.
GUGGGGAAUAUUGGGCAAUGGGGGAAACCCUGACCCAGCAACGCCGCGUGAAGGAAGAAGGUUUUCGGAUCGUAAACUUCUAUCCUUGGUGAAGAUAAUGACGGUAGCCAAGAAGGAAGCCCCGGCUAACUACGUGCCAGCAGCCGCGGUAAUACGUAGGGGGCAAGCGUUGUCCGGAAUGAUUGGGCGUAAAGGGCGCGUAGGCGGCCUGGUAAGUCUGGAGUGAAAGUCCUGCUUUUAAGGAGGGAAUUGCUUUGGAUACUGUCGGGCUGGAGUGCAGGAGAGGGAAGCGGAAUUACCGGUGUAGCGGUGAAAUGCGUAGAGAUCGGGAGGAACACCAGUGGCGAAGGCGGCUUACUGGACUGUAACUGACGCUGAGGCGCGAAAGUGUGGGGAGCAAACAGGAUUAGAUACCCCAGUAGUCC